UCCCCUACUUACCUAUCCAGCUUGCGUAUGGCGGAAAAUACCCGCAUACACGCACCUCAAUCGUCUGACGCACCAUGCGAUGUCAAUCAACACACGCGCUGUGCCGCCUGCUAUAGAUUGCACAGAAAUGAGGCUUGAGAUUCAUUGCAGCUAUAUGCUGGCAGGUAUGAAUUACAUGCAAAUCAAGCUCCUGUUGGUCCGAGCGCCUUGUUUCCCUUGAUUACAUAUCGUGCGCUUGGUUGCGCCGCGCACGUCAUAAGCUAGCCUAUGUAAAAAGCUGUAUAUCGACAUUACAGAGCGGGUGUGUAUGAUAUUACAACGUGGUGAAAGCUGGGAAUGUCGGGCAGGACUUCCUCUGGCUUUCUCGCUCUGGAAGUCGAAAAGUGUCGAAUGUAGUCGAUCCGCAAAACCGAGGUCAGAACGUGCUUUGUUGCAUAAUAUUAUUGGUUCUUUUUUUGUAUUGUUGAUUUUCAAUUUUCGUUUGCAGUCGUGCAGCUGUUUUAGCGGUCUACGGUAUGAGGCUCCGUUCGUCCGAGCCCGUCCAAGUUUCUCGCGAAACUACACUCGGAAAUCGCUUUAUAGCUUUGUAACAAUGUCCCG
Molecule: long non-coding RNA, 600 nt
Filed under: Volvox carteri
Lineage: Eukaryota; Viridiplantae; Chlorophyta; Chlorophyceae; Chlamydomonadales; Volvocaceae
Description: long non-coding RNA (VCAR_LNC002551)
Source: RNAcentral